This 253-nucleotide ribosomal RNA is filed under the name uncultured bacterium. Its description in RNAcentral is "partial 16S ribosomal RNA". It matches the Rfam family "Bacterial small subunit ribosomal RNA", at positions 524 to 776 of the family's 1533-position model. The record is from RNAcentral.
UACGGAGGAUCCAAGCGUUAUCCGGAAUCAUUGGGUUUAAAGGGUCCGUAGGCGGUUUUGUAAGUCAGUGGUGAGAGCCCAUCGCUCAACGGUGGAACGGCCAUUGAUACUGCAAGACUUGAAUUAUUAGGAAGUAACUAGAAUAUGUAGUGUAGCGGUGAAAUGCUUAGAGAUUACAUGGAAUACCAAUUGCGAAGGCAGGUUACUACUAAUGGAUUGACGCUGAUGGACGAAAGCGUGGGUAGCGAACAGG